This 465-nucleotide ribosomal RNA is filed under the name uncultured bacterium. RNAcentral describes it as "bacterial SSU rRNA". It matches the Rfam family "Bacterial small subunit ribosomal RNA", at positions 338 to 795 of the family's 1533-position model. The record is from RNAcentral.
CCUACGGGUUGCACCAGUGGGGAAUAUUGCACAAUGGGCGCAAGCCUGAUGCAGCCAUGCCGCGUGUGUGAAGAAGGCCUUCGGGUUGUAAAGCACUUUCAGCGGGGAGGAAGGCAUUAAGGUUAAUAACCUUAGCGAUUGACGUUACCCGCAGAAGAAGCACCGGCUAACUCCGUGCCAGCAGCCGCGGUAAUACGGAGGGUGCAAGCGUUAAUCGGAAUUACUGGGCGUAAAGCGCACGCAGGCGGUCUGUCAAGUCGGAUGUGAAAUCCCCGGGCUCAACCUGGGAACUGCAUUCGAAACUGGCAGGCUAGAGUCUUGUAGAGGGGGGUAGAAUUCCAGGUGUAGCGGUGAAAUGCGUAGGGAUCUGGAGGAAUACCGGUGGCGAAGGCGGCCCCCUGGACAAAGACUGACGCUCAGGUGCGAAAGCGUGGGGAGCAAACAGGAUUAGAUACCCCAGUAGUC